AUCACUUAGACAUAAGUAAAAAACCAAUAACUUACAUAUACAUAUGUAUUUAUAUAUACUUCUGUAUAUGGACGUGUGUAUGUCUAGACUGUUGUUAUCGCUACGCGUUUAAGAGCGCAUCAAAACACCGGGUCAAGUUUAUUGUCUCAGCUGCUUUUGCGACGAAGCUGAAAACAUGAUAUUCCUACCGAGUAUAAAUAUCAGGCCUGAAUGUUCUUUCAGACAUUGCAGUUUCAGUAUUUGCAACAUGAAGUUCUUCGCUCUCUUUGCUUUUGUCCUGGCCUUAGUGGCGAUGGCUAUGGCCAUGCCUGAACCUCUGCCCGGUGGUGGCGGCGGCGGCGGUGGCGGUGGUGGUCUCACCUUUGAAGAACUCGGUGGAGGCGGCGGCGGCGGUGGUGGCGGUGGUCUCAACCUUGAACUUGGCGGAGGCGGUGGUGGUGGCGGCGGCGGUGGCAAGUAAAGCGCACAACCCCAAAGGACAUAGUUUAACACAUUGUUAAUUAAUUUUACUGUUUGGCCCAAGGAUUUAGAACAAAUUAUUACAUUAAUAAAUCUAAUUUGAUAAACAAAAUAUAA
Molecule: RNA transcript, 576 nt
Organism: Bactrocera dorsalis (oriental fruit fly)
Lineage: Eukaryota; Metazoa; Arthropoda; Insecta; Diptera; Tephritidae
Gene name: rRNA 2'-O-methyltransferase fibrillarin
Exons: 3
Source: RefSeq, a predicted model, not a curated record